CCUACGGGAGGCAGCAGUGAGGAAUAUUGGUCAAUGGACGAGAGUCUGAACCAGCCAAGUAGCGUGAAGGAUGACUGCCCUAUGGGUUGUAAACUUCUUUUAUAUGGGAAUAAAAUGUUCCACGUGUGGGAUUUUGUAUGUACCAUAUGAAUAAGGAUCGGCUAACUCCGUGCCAGCAGCCGCGGUAAUACGGAGGAUCCGAGCGUUAUCCGGAUUUAUUGGGUGUAAAGGGAGCGUAGGCGGAUUGUUAAGUCAGUUGUGAAAGUUUGCGGCUCAACCGUAAAAUUGCAGUUGAAACUGGCAGUCUUGAGUACAGGAGAGGUGGGCGGAAUUCGUGGUGUAGCGGUGAAAUGCUUAGAUAUCACGAAGAACUCCGAUUGCGAAGGCAGUUCACUGGACUGCAACUGACACUGAGGCUCGAAAGUGUGGGUAUCAAACAGGAUUAGAUACCCUUGUAGUC
This 460-nucleotide ribosomal RNA is filed under the name uncultured bacterium. RNAcentral's name for it is "partial 16S ribosomal RNA". It matches the Rfam family "Bacterial small subunit ribosomal RNA", at positions 338 to 795 of the family's 1533-position model. The record is from RNAcentral.